UAACCAACCAACCAACCAACUAAUCAAUUAAUCAAUCAAUCAACUAAUCAAUCAAUCAUGAUCAUGAUCAAUCAAUCAUGUUUCCGUCUCAUGUGUUUAAUAUAGGGUCCAAGAUCUUCUUUGUUUCUUUUUCCGUGUUUCAAUUGACCCUAUCCAACGUGUUUAACCAACCAACCAACCAACCAACCAACCAACCAACCAACCAACUAACCAACUUAUCAAUCAAUCAAUCAAUCAAUCAAUCAAUCAAUCAAUCUGUAUGACUGUUUAAUCAUGACAGUUUAUUGAAGGAACAAACUCUCAAUUAUUCAAGAAAAAUUGAAAUUUAAUAUUGUUCUUACGUCACUUCUGAAAAAAAAUCCACAUGUUCUCUGAAACUACAAGUACAAAUCGACCUCAAAAUUUGCAGUCAGCAGGGCAUACAUGUACUAAAGUUUAUAAAAAAACUUGGUGCAGAUAUCUCUCAAAGCUUUUCCUAGAGAAAAGAAAUGGCAAUGCCGUAAAAAUCGCUUGCUAGGUCCGUAAAUCUCAGUAAAAACCUACAAUAAAAUGUCCGCUCCGAGAUUGAAAUACUAAUCUGUGUUACAAACAGGUGCUGAAAAAUGUACAUUAUCAGAAAAUAAUCAAUUAAAUGUGUUUUAAAGUUACACCGGAUCAAUUAAAUCCAAAACAUGCACUGCUGGUGAACUGUGAUCAAAAUGUCAAUUUCCUACAAUGACAAAAGAAAUUACAUUGUGUACAUUCCAUCUCUAUACAUGUUGUCUGUUUAACGUCCCGACCUAAAAAGAAAUAAAAAGACUAUCUUUUCGUUAUUAUAAACCCGUGUCACGUGAUGUGGCGCGCGCGCUGUACCUAAAAUAAAAGAAAAACUUUCCAAACUAAACAUGAAACUUNNNNNNNNNNNNNNNNNNNNNNNNNCGAAAAAAAUCUAAGCGACAUAUUGCGAAACAAACAUUUAUCGCAAGAAAAAAUUUGGCGGAAAAAAAAAAAAAAUAAUAAUAAUAAUAAUAAUAAUCAGAACAAAUACAAUAGGCUUUCCACAGAAAAGUGGAAAGACCUAAUAAUAUGGAAAAAACUGGAGUUGUCGUUCGUUUUACGUUGAUAGGAUAGAUAGUACACAACCUACAUUCAGUUGUAAGUGGAGGGUUAAAAAAAAGGGGGGGGGCAAAAGGGGGUCUCGGGGAGAUUUUUUUUUUUUUUUUUAUUAACGGAACAGAAUGGUUAAAAAGGUUUUUUACAAUAUAAAUCAAUUGCUUUAAAAAAGCAAUUGUAGGGGUCUUUCCCCCUUUAAAAUUAAUUGAAUUGGGGGGGGGGGUUUUGUUUGUUUGUUGUUGUUUGUUUGUUUGUUUCUGUAUGGGGUCUAUAUUAUUGUUACCGGAGAAGUUUCAUGUUUAGUUUGGAAAGUUUUUCUUUUAUUUAGGUACAGCGCG
Molecule: long non-coding RNA, 1430 nt
Filed under: Mytilus galloprovincialis (Mediterranean mussel)
Lineage: Eukaryota; Metazoa; Mollusca; Bivalvia; Mytilida; Mytilidae
Source: RNAcentral